Magnolia sinica is the source of this 2011-nucleotide long non-coding RNA. RefSeq lists it as uncharacterized. NCBI's taxonomy places the organism in Eukaryota, Viridiplantae, Streptophyta, Magnoliopsida, Magnoliales, Magnoliaceae. The transcript has 3 exons. The record is from RefSeq and is a predicted model, not a curated record.
AUGCCCUUUAUUAUAAUUCAUGUUUCCUUUACAAGUGAUGAGCUCUCUUAAAUGACAUAGGACAAUUCUCAGAUGCUCCUUUUAACACCUAGCCUUAUACUUUAGACUUCGAGAUUUAAACUGAGCAAUUGACAUUCUUGCAUAAUGGUCAUGCAAGCAACAUUUUCUUGAAAAAGCUAUUCCAAAAAUGUUUAUUUGUAAUUAUACUCUUUUGUCAACUAAUUUUGAUUGGAAUUAUAUUGAGGGAAGUUUUAGGAAAGGGCAACACACAGAGAGGAUUCCCAUAUUAUAUUUUUAUGGCAUAUUUCAUAGGUAAAAAAAAAAAAAAAAAAGUGGUUGCAUACUGCUUGCUGCUUCUUUGUUUUGAUAUUUGCUAAUUUGGGAGCUUCUUUCUUAUCUAAGUACAAUUACAGGAUUCGGGCAGAUGCUCUAAAUAUUAAAUUGUGAAACUUGUCCAACAAGCAUUAAUUACAAUUCAGUGUGUUCAUUUUAAAAUCCUUUCCAUUAGUAUCACAAUUUGGGCUAUACACCUAGAAGAGGAGCUUGAAGUAAAUGAAAGAAAUCUUGCUGAAAAUCUUGAGUAUCAAAUUCGAAUAGAAAAUGAGGCUAAACAGAAAUGCCUCAUAGACAAAUCUUUGGGUUCCUCAGUGGGCUUUCAUACAGGAUCUGUUGAGAGGAUUGCAGUCCCUGGUCUAUUGAACCGAGGAAUUUUGGAGGAUGGCCUUUCACUGAGUGGAAGGCAAGCUCAUACCAGUGAUGGACAUUCUCAAACCAUAUCUGAUAAAGAAAACCAUGAAGCCAGCCUUUCUCAAAUUAAAGGUUGCUUCAAAGAGCAAACUCAUCCAUGGGGUAAGGAUUAUUUUCAUGUUGGCUAUAGUAUGGUUGAAUUCUUGUGUUUGUUUACUUGGAUCAAUCAGUACUAAGAGUUUGAAUUGCUUCUGAAACAUGGAACUAACAUUAUAAUCAUAUACUUUGAAAAUUAGUCAAUCCACAUUUAGAAGAUAAUGAAUUUCUACAAUUCUAAUUCUCUAAUUUUAUUGUUCAUGUGCUCAUGAAGGCUAGGCUCAAGUGAAUGUGUCUAGCUGACGUGGGUAGAUGAAGAAGAACAAAUUUUAUUUUCCGGUUGUUUUAUUGACUGGAAAAUCUGACUUAUCCCAAAGGAAGUGGGAAUGGAUAUGUGAUUUGUUUCAGUGAAUUAUAUCUGAAAUCUGAACAGUGAUGGCCCUAAGGGUUAGGCCAGUCCUGCUAUUUUUGGUGAUUUGUAUCUAUGGUUCUGCUGUAGCAGAACUUGAGAAGGAAGUCAAUUGUAACGAUAUUUCCUUAUAUUACAAUGUAGAAGUGGCCUUCAAGUUGCAGUUAUGUUCCUUCCAACCUAAAAGGAUUCUAGUUGUAGCAAGUGUUUGCCAUUUGUUGGGAGAAUCCUAUAAAUUUGCUUGGGUGUGUAUGACAAAAGGCAUCCAGAGUGAAGACUGAUGGGAAAGAGAUUGAAGAAACCCUAUCACCUAAUUUUGUAAAUUUUUUCGUAAUGGAAAUUUCAAGAUUGUAGAAAUUGGAUAUGAAAAUUAAUUUCUGAUGUGGAACACCAUCAACUGUUAAAAGUAUAAGAUGCACAAAGGAUAGUCUUUGUUUUUAUGAUUGAAAAUCAACAAAAAACGGAGUCAAUAAUAGAAAAUAAUACCAGAAUUAACUGGGAUUGGUGUUCUGGGCAACAUAUCAUUGAAUUCAGGUAAAUUUGAGAAAAUGUUGAUGAUAUCAUUGUGACAAGGGAGCCUAGACAGAGGGAAAGAACAAUUAAUAAAUGAUCACACAUCAUGGGAAUCUGAAGGAAAAAAAACUCAAGUCAAUGAAGAUCUAUCCAAAUACAUGUUCACAGACUCUCUACUAAGCAAACCAACCAUGAAAGAACUGAUUACAAGAAUAUCUCAUUUGCCUUGAUUAAGAUCUGCAUUGAGAAUAUGUUAUUAGCACAAAAACUAUCAGGACAUGAGAGAGGUCUUAAUUCUCAGCCGAU